UGGGGAAUUUUGGACAAUGGGCGAAAGCCUGAUCCAGCAAUGCCGCGUGUGUGAAGAAGGCCUUCGGGUUGUAAAGCACUUUUGUCCGGAAAGAAAUCCUUGGCUCUAAUACAGUCGGGGGAUGACGGUACCGGAAGAAUAAGCACCGGCUAACUACGUGCCAGCAGCCGCGGUAAUACGUAGGGUGCAAGCGUUAAUCGGAAUUACUGGGCGUAAAGCGUGCGCAGGCGGUUUGCUAAGACCGAUGUGAAAUCCCCGGGCUCAACCUGGGAACUGCAUUGGUGACUGGCAGGCUAGAGUAUGGCAGAGGGGGGUAGAAUUCCACGUGUAGCAGUGAAAUGCGUAGAGAUGUGGAGGAAUACCGAUGGCGAAGGCAGCCCCCUGGGCCAAUACUGACGCUCAUGCACGAAAGCGUGGGGAGCAAACAGGAUUAGAUACCCUGGUAGUCCACGCCCUAAACGAUGUCAACUAGUUGUUGGGGAUUCAUUUCCUUAGUAACGUAGCUAACGCGUGAAGUUGACCGCCUGGGGAGUACGGUCGCAAGAUUAAAACUUAAAGGAAUUGACGGGGUCAUGCUGUUUCCU
Molecule: ribosomal RNA, 584 nt
Filed under: uncultured bacterium
Lineage: Bacteria
Description: partial 16S ribosomal RNA
Rfam family: Bacterial small subunit ribosomal RNA
Source: RNAcentral